AGUGGCUAACGGGUGAGUAAUUCGUGACCAACCUGCCCCAUGCUCCAGAAUAGCUCUUGGAAACGGGUGGUAAUGCUGGAUGCUCCAACUUGACGCAUGUCUUGUUGGGAAAGUGUUUAGUGGCAUGGGAUGGGGUCGCGUCCUAUCAGCUUGUAGGCGGGGUAAUGGCCCACCUAGGCUUCGACGGGUAACCGGCCCGAGAGGGCGGACGGCCACAUUGGGACUGAGAUACGGCCCAGACUCCUACGGGAGGCAGCAGCC
Molecule: ribosomal RNA, 261 nt
Filed under: uncultured Gardnerella sp.
Lineage: Bacteria; Bacillati; Actinomycetota; Actinomycetes; Bifidobacteriales; Bifidobacteriaceae
Description: partial 16S ribosomal RNA
Rfam family: Bacterial small subunit ribosomal RNA
Source: RNAcentral